UGAGAAAUUUGACUUGGUUGAGAAACUUC
This 29-nucleotide non-coding RNA is filed under the name Rattus norvegicus (Norway rat). Lineage: Eukaryota; Metazoa; Chordata; Mammalia; Rodentia; Muridae. The record is from RNAcentral.